GAUGAAGAACGUAGCAAAAUGCGAUAAGUAAUGUGAAUUGCAGAAUUCAGUGAAUCAUCGAAUCUUUGAACGCACAUUGCGCCCGCCAGUAUUCUGGCGGGCAUGCCUGUUCGAGCAUCAUUUCAACCCUCAAGCACAGCUUGGUGUUGGGACUCGCGUUAAUUCGCGUUCCCCAAAUUGAUUGGCGGUCACGUCGAGCUUCCAUAGCGUAGUAGUAAAACCCUCGUUACUGGUAAUCGUCGCGGCCACGCCGUUAAACCCCAACUUCUGAAUGUUGACCUCGGAUCAGGUAGGAAUACCCGCUGAACUUAAGCAUAUCAAUAAGCGGAGGA
RNAcentral lists this unclassified non-coding RNA (332 nucleotides) under soil metagenome. RNAcentral describes it as "partial contains 5.8S ribosomal RNA, internal transcribed spacer 2, and large subunit ribosomal RNA". The stretch from base 1 to 120 matches the Rfam family "5.8S ribosomal RNA", at positions 35 to 154 of the family's 154-position model. The record is from RNAcentral.